CCUACGGGGCGCAGCAGUGGGGAAUAUUGGACAAUGGGCGAAAGCCUGAUCCAGCCAUGCCGCGUGUGUGAAGAAGGCCUUCGGGUUGUAAAGCACUUUCAGUGGGGAAGAAAGCCUUGGGGCUAAUACCCUCGAGGAAGGACAUCACCCACAGAAGAAGCACCGGCUAACUCCGUGCCAGCAGCCGCGGUAAUACGGAGGGUGCGGGCGUUAAUCGGAAUUACUGGGCGUAAAGCGCGCGUAGGCGGUCUGAUAAGCCGGUUGUGAAAGCCCCGGGCUCAACCUGGGAACGGCAUCCGGAACUGUCAGGCUAGAGUGCAGGAGAGGAAGGUAGAAUUCCCGGUGUAGCGGUGAAAUGCGUAGAGAUCGGGAGGAAUACCAGUGGCGAAGGCGGCCUUCUGGACUGACACUGACGCUGAGGUGCGAAAGCGUGGGUAGCAAACAGGAUUAGAUACCCCAGUAGUC
Molecule: ribosomal RNA, 465 nt
Filed under: Vreelandella stevensii
Lineage: Bacteria; Pseudomonadati; Pseudomonadota; Gammaproteobacteria; Oceanospirillales; Halomonadaceae
Description: partial 16S ribosomal RNA
Rfam family: Bacterial small subunit ribosomal RNA
Source: RNAcentral